GAUAUGAUCGCGGCCGUUGGUGCUCGCGUCCGGCCGUCCGGUCGGCGCAGUUCAACGGGAAUCAGGAAGGGCCCCGGGACGCCUGCGCGUCGGCCCCAACCUGAGCUGCCCCCGCAACGGUAAGCAGACCGCGCAACCCGGGCCACCCUGGUUGUUGCGCCGCCGUCAUCCAUGGCCACUGGAGCCCUGCUCUGGGAAGGCCGCGACGGCGUCAGGUCCGCCAGCCCGGAUACCGGCCAACAGGAGGCCCUGACG
RNAcentral lists this non-coding RNA (255 nucleotides) under Roseateles depolymerans. The record is from RNAcentral. Lineage: Bacteria; Pseudomonadati; Pseudomonadota; Betaproteobacteria; Burkholderiales; Sphaerotilaceae.